AGCGCUCAUAGGUUGAGCCAGGUUGAGCCAUAAUAAAUGCUGCUCGAGACCGCCUUCUAAUACCUUUAUAAUACCUAAUACCUAGAGCUUUUAUUUUUUAGGUUUGCUCGCAAGGAGCUCGCAAACAUUGAGCACAAUAAACGCUGUUCCAGACCGAAUCAUUGCUCUGUAUUGGGUUUGUCGAGCUCUUUUAUAAUACAUUUUACCAUUUUAAAUGGGAUGUUCAGCAACGAGUCUGACUGAAUCAGCGGCGUCAGUUUGGAAGAAUUAGAUGCAGACUGACUGUAGAAAUUAAUGCAUACAGAAAACUGCUGGAGCAUCAGAAACUACAGACCAGAAAUGGAGGCCAGAAAUGAGACACAAACCAGUGAAUCACAAGAGAAAAGCAGACCAACACUUCUUAGAUUUAACAGUAUGGAGAGAGAAAAACCAUUGUUCUCAGACGUUCCAGACGAGCCUGUAAAGUUUGAUUCCGACAUAAAAUCUGAGGUAAGAUUCUCGCAUCAAAACCCAUCAACAUGUUCUCAAGAACAAACAACAUCACUGAGACACCAGCGGCUGAAGAUCUGAACAACAACAAGAGACCCCAUCACUUCAGACUACAGCCUGUUCAGCUCCUUGAUCCUUUCAGGUUUUACAGACUCCUCUACAUACAAGCUAAUUAAAGACUUGAACAUCAUCUGGAUGGACUCAAUGCAUCAGGAUACAGUCUGUGAUGUUAAAACACUCACAGUUUGGUCUUGUAUAUUCCACACUGUCCUGAUGAUAAAUUCUUGUGAAUAUUUUCUUCUUUGAUUCUUUUGAAAAUUUAGAGUUUUUAAUCUUAGUUCAAUGUUUGUACAUAUCAUGCAUCUUCAUUUUCAUUUAAUACAUUUUUGCAUUUCUGUAUAUUGUGAUAUAUCUCUGGGGUUGUUUAUUUAUCUGUAUAUUUUUGUAUAAACAUACUUAUAUCACUGUAGCAUUUAUAUUUUAUAUGCACGAAUUGCUCAUCAUUUCACCCCAUUCUAAAUGGAUGCAACAGCCAAUGAAGGAUAAUAAAACUUUAGUACAUUUUAUCUGUAUAAUUGACAUAUGCAGAGCUCAUUUGAAUAUUUUGUAUUCAUUCUCAAACCACCCAAAGAUGCCACCCAACUCAACCAGGACUCUUCUUCCUACCCACUGAGCUUCUCCAAUUUAUACAAUAAAAUAAUAUAUUGUGUAAAACCUGUUUCUGGCAUUUGAAGCACAGAUGAUCAGCUCAAAAGCUUAUGCGGACCACAA
Molecule: long non-coding RNA, 1260 nt
Organism: Labeo rohita (rohu)
Lineage: Eukaryota; Metazoa; Chordata; Actinopteri; Cypriniformes; Cyprinidae
Exons: 3
Source: RefSeq, a predicted model, not a curated record